AUUAUUACUAGAAGUACCAGGAUCCUCAUGCUCCAGGGUUGUUGUCCUUUUCUCUCUCUCUUUCUCAAGCACUCUCUCUUUUUCUCUUGCAGAUGAAAUUGAGGCAAUGGCUAGGAUUCAUGUCCAUGGGGAGUAUACUGACCUGUGUGGUAUGACGUCAGCUCAAAGAGCCUGCAGAACAAAGCUCUGUCACAACUGUGCUUCCUGGUUGUCGCCUCCUGCCUGCAAGCGGCUGAACGUCGUCGUCCCCCCCCUUCGUAUCAUCAUCAUGCAGAAGGGGAUGAGCCAGACGCAAUGAGAGAUUCAGGUAAUUCCACCAAAAAUAUGUUCCAAUAUCUGGUGCUGUGUUAGUGCUGCUAUCUCUGGAGCACUGCCUUGCAUGGACAUCUUGUUGAACUCGAUUUUAUGUCUGUGGUUGCAUCACCAUUGAUUUUUAAGUGAGCGACGCCGAGUCCUCUAGUUCAUUAACACACACAUAAAUGAAGUAGAGACUGGUCUCUUAUUCGUUUAAAAUGCCUGCCAACAGAGGCAAACAUGCAGCAAUUUGACGGAUGCUAGGGGCUAAUGUAUUUUUUUCCCCAGCUGUGACUAGAGCAAAAUAAAUAAGCAAUUAGAACAACUUUAAUUUUUUCU
RNAcentral lists this long non-coding RNA (633 nucleotides) under Pogona vitticeps (central bearded dragon). RNAcentral describes it as "lncRNA (ENSPVIG00000014272.1)". The record is from RNAcentral. Lineage: Eukaryota; Metazoa; Chordata; Lepidosauria; Squamata; Agamidae.